RNAcentral lists this ribosomal RNA (485 nucleotides) under uncultured bacterium. Its description in RNAcentral is "bacterial SSU rRNA". It matches the Rfam family "Bacterial small subunit ribosomal RNA", at positions 28 to 509 of the family's 1533-position model. The record is from RNAcentral.
GAUGAACGCUAGCGGCAGGCCUAAUACAUGCAAGUCGAACGAGAUUGAGGAGCUUGCUCCUCAUGAAAGUGGCGCACGGGUGCGUAACGCGUAUGCAAUCUACCUUAAUCAGGGGGAUAGCCCGGAGAAAUCCGGAUUAAUACCGCAUAACGUUAUUUUAUGGCAUCAUAGAAUAACCAAACAUUUAUGGGAUUAAGAUGAGCAUGCGUGACAUUAGUUAGUUGGUGAGGUAACGGCUCACCAAGACUACGAUGUCUAGGGGAUCUGAGAGGAUGACCCCCCACCACUGGUACUGAGACACGGACCAGACUCCUACGGGAGGCAGCAGUAAGGAAUAUUGGUCAAUGGGCGCAAGCCUGAACCAGCCAUGCCGCGUGCAGGAAGACGGCCCUAUGGGUUGUAAACUGCUUUUAUUCGGGAAUAAACCUCUUUACGAGUAAGGAGCUGAAUGUGCCGAAGGAAUAAGGAUCGGCUAACNCCGUGCC